UUAGAUUAAUUGGACAGCCUAAAUUGGAUGCAGGUGCGAGUGUGAGGUGCUCAAUCCCGUAAUCAAGGCUGAGGUCAGUAGGGCGUUUGAUUUUGUUAAGUAAUUAACAAAAAGUUCAGCAGACCGAAGGGGAAAAGGAGAAAGUGUAAACGACAAAGGCCAAGACACUGCCUGGGACCCCGUCAAACCGGCGGUCGAAAUGCGGGAGGUGCGCAGGUGCAGUUCCCCAGAGUUGACACAGUGGGGCAGCGUUGCAGUGGCACAGAACUGGAGGAGGGGAGAAGCUGGAGAAUGGUCAGGGCCGACGCGAGAGAAACAGGCCCGGAGGAAACGCAGCGUUGCCGUGCCGACGCGCCGACCCCGGCAGACCUGGCUGGCUGAUCAGAGCCGCGUGCGCUCGCUCGCGUCCCGGAGGCCAAAGCUGCGCUUCACAGCGAAGCGUAAAAGGGCGUCGAGAAGAAAGAGCCUCGUGCAUCCCAGAAAUAAACAAAUACUCUGCCCUGAAGCUGAGGCUCAGACGGGCUUCUGUUCCCUAUUCGAAAGAAUCUGUGACAUCACAGUAUGUUGCCGAUGGCAACAACUAGAGGGGUGGUAAGAGGCACAAAUAAUAAUAAUAAUAACCGUGAAUUGAACAUAAGAUAACUUGAC
Long non-coding RNA from Anguilla rostrata (American eel), 648 nucleotides. RefSeq lists it as uncharacterized. The record is from RefSeq and is a predicted model, not a curated record. The transcript has 3 exons. NCBI's taxonomy places the organism in Eukaryota, Metazoa, Chordata, Actinopteri, Anguilliformes, Anguillidae.